This is a long non-coding RNA of Macrobrachium nipponense, 527 nucleotides long. RefSeq lists it as uncharacterized. The transcript is spliced from 3 exons. The record is from RefSeq and is a predicted model, not a curated record. NCBI's taxonomy places the organism in Eukaryota, Metazoa, Arthropoda, Malacostraca, Decapoda, Palaemonidae.
GGCAGCGUGGAGUCUUCCCUCAUCAGUUCUAGCGAACAGUCGAUUCCGAACAGGUCACACGCAGUUUGUUCCUCUUCUUCAUCCGUAUCCGAAUUUCCUCAGCUUGGAGCUAUACGAUGAUGGCAAAGGGAUUCUUGAUGUUCAUGGCCGCAGCCGCCCUGGUGUGCCUCUCAGCGCCCCCGAGGGGGCUGCCCUCCCCGUGGCCUCUCCCUCACCCUCCCCGAGGCCUGACCCGGAGGCCAAAGCCGAGCCCUUCAUCGGCGGUUUGGGCAUGAUGGGCCUCGGCGGCCUCGGCGGCCUAUACGGGUAUCCUUACCUCAGCGGGUCCUACGGCUACGGGUCCUACGGCUUGGGAGGACUCGGAAUGAUGGGCGGUAUGUACGGACUCGGAGGACUCGGUAUGAUGGGCGGUCUGUACGGCGGAUUGGGCGGAUUAGGCAUGGGCGGACUGGGUCUAGGCGGCCUCGGCUUCGGACUUGGCUGGUAAUGUCCGACCUCCCUCCUUCCCCCUCCCCCCAAACCCCCGC